AUGUGGCUUUGACAGCCUCAUCAAUACCGGGCUUCGGUCAGCCACGAGAAAUCCAGCAGAGUUGCCGAGCAAGGUGAACACUGUCUUUGAUGCAGAAAAUACCUGGAAAUUCCUAGAGAAGGCUGUCUUUUUCCUCACCAGUAAAUCAAGGCAGAAGUGGACUAGAAGAAUUCUAUGAAGGAAGACACAUCCUGCUAAAGCCAGAGGUGCUUGCUGUCCAUUCCAACCUCAUUUGGAAUAUUUCUGUGGCUCAGAUUCAGUGAACUCCAAACACGUGGACCAGUGCUCCUGUGGCCAUCACACUACGUCAAGGGCUGGACUUGGCUUUAGAAUCCUCGCUCCAAAGACCAUUGCUGUCAAAGAAAGAACAAGCAGACAUCCCACCACAGGAGGUAAACAAAGAGCUCUCAGUCAGAGAGUUGGGGAAAAGGAAGACAGGCACCACUCUAAGGAAAAGGAAUCCCAUUUUUCCUUUUUUUCUUUCCUCUUUUUUUUCCUUUUAGGGCCAUGCCUGCAGCAUAUGGAAGUUCGUGAGCUAAAGGUUGAAUUGGAGCUGCAGCUUCUAGCCUACACCAUAGCCACAGCAAUGCCAGAUCCAAGCUGUGCUGCAGCUGGUAGCAACACCAGACCCUUAACCCACUGAGCAAGGCCAGGGAUCAAACCCACGUCCUCACAGAGAUAAUGUCAGGUCCUUAACCCACUGAGCCACAAUGGGAACUCCCUCUGCUUCUGCUCUUGUAUCUCUGGAUGAGCGAGUUAAGCCAAGGUCUUUUGUAAAGAUCUGGCCUCUUUCCCCAAAGGCAUGUCUGAACGUGCUGGUUUUCAGACUUUCAUUUGUAGUAGGAAAUAGGGUACCAUAUUUUGACCUGCUAAGUUAAAUUCUCCCAAAUUUAAAACUGAAAAAAAUAAAAUAAAAUAAAACUGAAAGCUAUUCCUUGGC
RNAcentral lists this long non-coding RNA (940 nucleotides) under Sus scrofa (pig). RNAcentral's name for it is "lncRNA (ENSSSCG00065014001.1)". Lineage: Eukaryota; Metazoa; Chordata; Mammalia; Artiodactyla; Suidae. The record is from RNAcentral.